This 74-nucleotide transfer RNA is filed under the name Capsulimonas corticalis. RNAcentral describes it as "tRNA-Gln". It matches the Rfam family "tRNA". Rfam says of the family: Transfer RNA (tRNA) molecules are approximately 80 nucleotides in length. Their secondary structure includes four short double-helical elements and three loops (D, anti-codon, and T loops). Further hydrogen bonds mediate the characteristic L-shaped molecular structure. tRNAs have two regions of fundamental functional importance: the anti-codon, which is responsible for specific mRNA codon recognition, and the 3' end, to which the tRNAs corresponding amino acid is attached (by aminoacyl-tRNA synthetases). tRNAs cope with the degeneracy of the genetic code in two manners: having more than one tRNA (with a specific anti-codon) for a particular amino acid; and 'wobble' base-pairing, i.e. permitting non-standard base-pairing at the 3rd anti-codon position. Lineage: Bacteria; Bacillati; Armatimonadota; Armatimonadia; Capsulimonadales; Capsulimonadaceae. RNAcentral also lists the same sequence under 1 other name. The record is from RNAcentral.
UCCGAGGUCGUUCAAUGGCAGGACAAGAGUUUUUGGUGCUCUUUAUUGGGGUUCGAAUCCCUGCCUCGGAACCA